Molecule: long non-coding RNA, 683 nt
Organism: Oncorhynchus keta (chum salmon)
Lineage: Eukaryota; Metazoa; Chordata; Actinopteri; Salmoniformes; Salmonidae
Exons: 3
Source: RefSeq, a predicted model, not a curated record
UUUGUACUGGACCAACUGCAAUUUACCUUUGUCCUUCUUUGCCGCACAUGACCACACAGGUGGGCAGUAGUCCAGGUGAAACUACACAUGACCACACAGGUGGGCAGUAGUCCAGGUGAAACUACACAUGACCACACAGGUGGGCAGUAGUCCAGGUGAAACUACACAUGACCACACAGGUGGGCAGUAGUCCAGGUGAAACUACACAUGACCACACAGGUGGGCAGUAGUCCAGGUGAAACUACACAUGACCACACAGGUGGGCAGUAGUCCAGGUGAAACUACACAUGACCACACAGGUGGGCAGUAGUCCAGGUGAAACUACACAUGACCACACAGCUGGGCAUUAGUCCAGGUGAAACUACACAUGACCACACAGCUGGGCAUUAGUCCAGGUGAAACUACACAUGACCACACAGCUGGGCAGUAGUCCAGGUGAAACUACACAUGACCACACAGGUGGGCAGUAGUCCAGGUGAAACUACACAUGACCACACAGCUGGGCAUUAGUCCAGGUGAAACUACACAUGACCACACAGCUGGGCAGUAGUCCAGGUGAAACUACACAUGACCACACAGCUGGGCAGUAGUCCAGGUUCGACAAAAAUAUGACUUUGUAAGACUUUGUGGCUCUGCCGGCUAGUGACCACUUUGCAGAGCUGCCUCCAGGGCAAAAGGUAUGA